Podarcis lilfordi (Lilford's wall lizard) is the source of this 6472-nucleotide non-coding RNA. Lineage: Eukaryota; Metazoa; Chordata; Lepidosauria; Squamata; Lacertidae. The record is from the annotation of a GenBank genome assembly.
UAGUCACUCAUAAAAGGUCAAGAACAACACAAGAGGUGAGAGGGACAUACAUUGCACAAGUUGUUACCCUAAGAGAAUGUGUAUUAUCCUUUUUUAAACAGAGGUUGGAUAGCCAACUGCCAUGUAUGAUCUAGCUGAGAUUCCUCCUAGGAUUCUGUGACAUUCUGAUCAUUCAUAUUCUUUUUCUCUAUGUCAGUCGAGGUGAUUUGGUUGCUGUGGAAUGUUUGCAUCCCUUAGACUGUGUUUGCUGUAGCUUUUUGAUUCUCAGAGUAGCGCCAAGAAAUUAGAUUCAAGGACUGGAUUCCUUAAGUACACUUAAGAGAACGCAAAUUCCUAAGCCAGUGUUUUGUUAAGGGGGCAGAGGGGGGGCACUCUAGGGGGUGCAUGAGAAUUUGUUAUAUAUACUGUAACAACUGGGAUGGAGUUCAAAAACAUUUUUGCAUAUGCAGUAUUGGUAAAUAGGCCACUGUUGGAGUUUACAGGUUUUGUGAAUGGUUUUAUUAAUUGAAAAGUUCAGGUUAUCUGACUAUUAUAAGUUUACUGAAGAAGGUGGGGGGAGAGAGUGAGGUGGCAGAGAAAAGCAAUAGAAAAAGAGAGAGAAAAGGUAGUGCAGAGACGGGUAGGGUUGUCCUCAGAAUUCCUGUGCACAUCCAAACAUAAAAUCCGCAGCUAAAAGUGAAGUGGCAGAUGGGUAACCCCACCAACGUCUGUUGGGGAUGAAGAAAGAUGGAGUACAAAAGGGGCAGAAUAACAGGAGGAGAUGGUGACUUUGCAACUGGACAGAUGGUGAAAAGGUGCGUAGUAGUUCCAACGUGUGGGAGGAGGAAGAUACAGGACUAAUGGGGUGGUCUGAGUGUAAGGGGGUUGCACAAAAGGAAGGGAGGCAAGGACAUGGGGGUGAAGAUGGAAACAGGUUCAAAGCAGGGCUGCAGCACAGAUGAGAGAAGUGGCUUCAGAAAUAGGGUUUGCAAGGUGAAAAGGGGGUGUAGUAGUUGCCUGGGAUGGGAAGGCAAGCUCUAGGGAGUUAACGGGGGGGGAAUGGCUGAGGGGUUCGCAAAUGGAGUGAGCAGGGGCAGAGGCCCUUUGUCCAAUCAUAUCUUUAGAUGCCCAGGUAUCCUCUCUGGCACACCUUUCACCAGCAGAGGCUGGCAUGAAAACUGUGGCCUCUUUAGGACAGAGAUCGCUUGAACACCAUUAUUCACGUGCUGGUAAUACUCAGGGUUUUCUUUUUUUCUGAUAUCCCGCCUUUCACUCCCUUUAAGGAGUCUCAAAGCGGCUAACAUUCUCCUUUCCCUUCCUCCCCCACAACAAGGUGAGUGGGGCUGAGAGACUUCAAAGAAGUGUGACUAGCCCAAGGUCACCCAGCAGCUGCAUGUGGAGGAGCGAAGACACGAACCACACUGGCUCCCCAUCAACCUUAGUACAACUGUACUGAUUCCUGUCCAUUUCUGAAACAAACACAAGUCUCCAGAUCUUACCUUUUAAAGCUCUUAAGAUUUAUAGUGUCUGAGGGGCUGGCUACUUUUCCCUGCCCAGUUACUAAGAUCUUCCUUCUUCAACCCCCCACUUACUUUCAGAGGCAAGAUGCUGGUGACUAAAGAUAGGGCCUUCACAGUUGUGGUAUCCUGACUAUAGAAUGGUUCCUCCAAGGAGGCUCCCCUAGCGCUGAGCCUAUUUGGGUGUUGUGGUUGUUUUAAUUACCUUUUUAAUUCACCUUUUAUUUCACUAAGCUUUUAUUUGAUUUUUAGUCUAUCUUGUUCCAUUUUGACCUCCUGCUGCUUUUUAGUUGCUCUGGGAGACCUCUAUCUGGAGAGUGGGAUAUAAAUAUCAUAAAUUAAUAUGGCAGAAAGACCCAGUGCUUUCAAGAGUCUGUGCUGUGCAUAGUGCAGUUCUGUUUGACAGCAAAUACUGCUGUCCACUGAAUUCCAGUGCAGUUCCAAAGAUUUGUAUUAAAAAUGGUUCCUAGUUUUGAAGCAGUAAUAUACAUGUAUAAUCAGUGGUGGGACUUAAUUAAGGGCACCCUACCUCUCCAUAUAAUUUUGCUGUGUAGCUCUCUCAAACAAGAACCUAAAAAGAAUACAGUGGUACCUCGGGUUACAUACGCUUCAGGUUACAGACUCCGCUAACCCAGAAAUAGUACCUUGGGUUAAGAACUUUGCUUCAGGAUGAGAACAGAAAUCAUGCUCCGGCGGUGCGGCAGCAGCAGGAGUCCCCAUUAGCUAAAGUGGUGCUUCAGGUUAAGAACAGUUUCAGGUUAAGAACGGACCUCCAGAACGAUUUAAGUAGUUAGCCUGAGGUACUACUGUACCUCCUUUCCUGACUUCAGUAUCCUAUAAACUAUUCUGUACUUAAUUCUGCUGAAUUUAUACAGUUUCAGGAUCGAGGCCAACUUUCACGGCGGCUCUGUAUUCAGAACUACAUGUGUCCAUAUUAUAACACUGCAGAGGGUUCUGAAAUCUAAAUUAAGCCACAAUUAGACUUACACAGAAGGUCGUUUUCUGUGACUCAUUCCUGCCAGGCAAGGAAAUCACUUCCUUUCAGUGAUCUAGAUGAGAGGUUUCCCUUGAGAGGAAGUAGAGUUAGGAGAUUUUCUAAUUACCUAACUUUAACAUAAUGGAAACAGCUAACGAGAACACAGCACAUAACACUCUGUACAUAACUGAACAUAUCAACAUUUCUUAGAUAUAACAUUUUAAAUGUAGUUGCCAGAAAGAGAUUCUCCAAACAUAUUCUUCAAGAACAUGGAGCAACAGUAUAAUUAAUUUAUUUUUUCAGUAUUCCUAUGCUGAAAGGAAACACGGAUACUGUUUCCUGCCUCAGAAAGGAUUCAUACGUCUAUCCGGGAGGCAGUGUUUCUACGCCCUCUUCUGGUUAGAUGUAAAUCUGUCUUGAAUGUCAUAUCUGGAAGUAUAGCAGAAGUAGAGUUUCUGGUUUCUCCAAUCUUUUUUCUGCGUUUCCACAUGAGUUUGCAUUUUUUAAAAAAUAAGGUCCCCAUUAAAAUUUGUCAGUAUUUUAGUGUAGUUUUCUCCAUAUAUAUUGCUGCUGUUGUUAGCAUCCAUCUGUCUUGAGAGAAAAUGGAGGACGCCUCCAGGGGUGAAGUCAAACGGCUGUGUUAGUAGCACCCAAGUGACUUCCCCAAUAUGGAGGUCCAGGGCUGCCCAGUCGACAAGAACCCCCUCUGAUGUGGUCCAAAGCAAUACAUUUGGCAACAGCUUGGCUGCAGUUGCUUGGCGUACAAGGCACCAUCCAACUGUCUUAGGGACUCCACUCUGGAUUUGUGUAGGGUUUACUCCUUAGCCUUUUCUUCUCCUGAAGAUAUACUGCAAGGUAGUGGAGGUUUAGGAUCAGAGUUUUCCUUCUCCUAGAUGGGCUACCUUCCCAGGUUGACAAGCCCCAUCUGCCCCUCACUUCCCUCUACAGCCCGUGCAGAAACCGCUUCUUGACCGUUUGAUCCACUGUUGGUUUCAUCCGCUCAAUCUGCCGGAGGCAGUCUUUGAAUGCAGAGGAAGUCCCUAACUCACUGAGGGUUUGAGAUCCAUAGGCUACCCUCACCUGGUUUAGCUGGCAAGUCAAGGUAUACAGUGGUACCUCGGGUUACAGAUGCUUCAGGUUACAUACGCUUCAGGUUACAGACUCCACUAACCCAGAAAUAGUGCUUCAGGUUAAGAACUUUGCUUCAGGAUGAGAACAGAAAUUGCGCGGCAGUGGCGCAGCAGGAGGCCCCAUUAGCUAAAGUGGUACCUCAGGUUAAGAACAGUUUCAGGUUAAGAACGGACCUCCGGAACAAAUUACGUUUUUAACCCAAGAUACCACUGUAUAUUGUUAAAUGCAAUUUUGCCUCAUAUACAUGUUUUUGCAACAAAAACAAUGCCUUUCUGUUUGUUGUUUUCAGUAAUACAUUAUUAUUAUUAUUAUUAUUAUUAUUAUUAUUACAGUCAUACCUUGGUUUACAAACAGCUUAGUUGUCAAACAUUUUGGCUCCCGAACUCCGCAAACCUGGAAGUGACUGUUUUGGUUUGCAAACUAUUUUUGGAAGCUGAACGUCCAAUGGGGAUUUUGCAGCUUCCAGUUGGCUUUACCCCUGUGCAUACAUUUUUGUACACAUUAAUUGGGUGGAGAAGUGCACUGCAAAAUUCAGAGAAGUUUGGAUUACUAAGGAUAUGUUGUGUUUCAGUUUGCACAUCAUUUCAAGGAGUGUGAGUUAGGGAGGUAUGCAAACUAAGCCAUUUUUCUCCCUGUCCCUUUCUAUGAGGCAGUAUAUAUGCUUUGUAGGAACAGUGACUGGAAAAAGCACUAGCUUCAGUGUGGAAUGAAGGGAGGAGGGGAGUGACUUUGGCUAGGGACAAAGGGAGGGGUGGGUGGUUUUGAGAGGGGGUUUGGCAGGGGUAGGUGGAAUUGGCAAGCAAAGUGAGCAGGGGCACAGUCCCUAAUAUAAUACGUUUGUUUUCUUUAGGGUGGUUCUUUAAUUCCAUGCUUUCUCUGAUUCCUAGGACGAUAAUUGCAUGUUACACAGAUAAAUUACAGCUGUUGCCAAUCUGUGUCAAUUAUGCAGUCUAAUCGCUGUGGAUAAAACAAGUCACAGUGCACAAUAUUGCUAUAUAAAUAGAUAAGCAAGCCAUUUCUACCUAGAUUUCUACCACCUGCUGGAAAUGGUGAAACCUCAAAUAAGUUUCAGCCCAAAAGAUAGCGGUUAGUCUCCUAUGAAUGAAACACAAACAUAAGAGCAAACACACAAAUAAGCACAACUGUAUCAUUUUGCACGCAGCGCAAACAAAGUAAUACUCAUCUGCCGAUGCAGGAAUAGAUUUCUCAUUAUAAAAAAACAAGGAUAAGUGGUAUAAACAUGGGCUGUAUUAUUAUAUGCAGGGAGUAUCACAGCACUGACCGUACUUCCACAUCCAGCACUGAAAAGCCAGCACACUGAAGAUUUGGGCUGAGUUUGUAGGUGCACGUUCACCACUUGAAUAAAUGUAAUAUGAAGUGAUGCCUUGCUUCUGUCAAAGACCCAUCACCAAAGCCAACCAAUCACAUCCCUGACAAAGCUAUCAUGUCACCUAAUACAUCUUCAUCACCUAAUAUUUUAAUGAUUUAACACAGUCUAUUCAUUCACACGAUGAGGCAGAAUGAAACCCAUGGCAUUUCCAACUCUGCUGUACAUUAUAUCUGUAUUUCUUUUAGCAGAAUGGGCAGAAGAUGGGUAUGCAACAACAAUGUGCUGUUACGGCACAGAUAGCUAAUGGUAUUUUUAGGUUGUAUAGGCAGGAACAUUGUUCCUGUGACUCAGUAAGCAAUAGUAGUACCUUGGGACUGGCAUGGUCUCAUUUGGAAUGCUGUGAACUAUUCUGGGAGCUUACCAGAAUCUUGCAGAUGAAGUCUGUCAACAUACUGCUUGGAUAAGGAGGUCUGCUUUGGAUUAAUUCUGUGUCUGUAUUUGCUGCAGCUUCUGCUGAAGCUUAAACCAGUUAAGAGAUAAUCACUUCUAAUAUUCUCCUGUUUAUCAUCAGAAGUCAAAUCAGAAAUAGCCAAUUUCUGUAUUGCCUUGGGCUACUCUGUUCUACAAACAAUGUUUUGUGGAACAAAAGCAUAUUUUGCUGCACAAGCUGAACCACUUGUGAAUAGUCACAUUGCACAAUGAAGAUGCCACCCUCUAGCAGGAAUGGGUUUCUAACUGUGGGACACUUGCACUCAGGUAUAGGAUGACAUACAAAUGUCUACAUGUACAUAUUACAUGUAAAAUAAAAAACAGGUGUAACAUCAAUUGUCACCAUCAAUUGCAUUUAUGUACUCCCACAGAAGUCACAACACUCCAAAAUACAACCAUCACAAAACUAUUAAAACUUCUAAAAUACAUAUUUAGAAAAUGAAGAAUAUAGUUCAGCAGACAGUGAUGCUAAAAUUGUUAAUUCCUUUUAUGUCCCAAUAGUUCAUACAACACAUGGAUCUUCAGUUGACACCAAAAAGUUUUUAACAUGGAGGAAAGCACAUUUCCCCAGGAGGAACUGGGGCACCACCACCAGGAAGGCCCUCCCUUACAUAACAAAAACCGUCCCCUUACUCCUGUAGACUCAGUCACAGCCAACCCUAAUCUCACCUGGGAGUGAUCUGUCUAUGACAGGGGGUGACACUCACCUUCUCAGCACUGGAUCACUCCCAGUCUGCUCUGUACUGAAGACCAAUUGAGAGUAUGACCUGCAACAUGUGCUUGACCCGUGAUGCAUUGAGGCAGAUCCACAGUUGUCUUGAUGACCAUGAAGUCCAGAGCCAGACCAGAUAAGGUGGACUCCGCUUCUACAUUUAAGACUCCCGGGAUUAUUGUUCAAGGGUUCUCCAAAACCACAGGAUUGACAGUACACCAAUAAAAUGUCCUUCCGGCACAACAGCAAGUGGAGAUUCACAUCUUGUUCCCAGACAGGUUGGUUUCCUAGUGAGGAAUGUGGAAUUUCUAUGGAUGACUACAAACUGCACACACACC